Molecule: ribosomal RNA, 405 nt
Filed under: Gillisella taibaishanensis
Lineage: Bacteria; Pseudomonadati; Pseudomonadota; Alphaproteobacteria; Hyphomicrobiales; Rhizobiaceae
Description: bacterial SSU rRNA
Rfam family: Bacterial small subunit ribosomal RNA
Source: RNAcentral
GGCUCAGAACGAACGCUGGCGGCAGGCUUAACACAUGCAAGUCGAACGCCCCGCAAGGGGAGUGGCAGACGGGUGAGUAACGCGUGGGAAUCUACCGUGCCCUACGGAAUAGCUCCGGGAAACUGGAAUUAAUACCGUAUACGCCCUACGGGGGAAAGAUUUAUCGGGGUAUGAUGAGCCCGCGUUGGAUUAGCUAGUUGGUGGGGUAAAGGCCUACCAAGGCGACGAUCCAUAGCUGGUCUGAGAGGAUGAUCAGCCACAUUGGGACUGAGACACGGCCCAAACUCCUACGGGAGGCAGCAGUGGGGAAUAUUGGACAAUGGGCGCAAGCCUGAUCCAGCCAUGCCGCGUGAGUGAUGAAGGUCUUAGGAUUGUAAAGCUCUUUCACCGAUGAAGAUAAUGACG